UAUUGCUUCGGCAAUACACAUACUAAAAUUAGAACGAUACAGAGAAGACUAGCAUAGCCCCUGCACGACGAUGACACGAAUUCGUGAAGCAUUCCGUAUUUUA
Octopus bimaculoides (California two-spot octopus) is the source of this 103-nucleotide non-coding RNA. The record is from Rfam. NCBI's taxonomy places the organism in Eukaryota, Metazoa, Mollusca, Cephalopoda, Octopoda, Octopodidae.